ACAGAUCUAGGCCCAGCCUGUCUUCCAGCAUGGAGCUCUGGCCCCGGGCCUCACCAUCCUUACCGGAGGCCUGUGAUUUAAUCCCUGCAAGAUGAAUGCAAGCAGAUAACGUUCUCCUGCAGGAGUGGGUCCAGGAGUGGAGGACACACUUGGGAGGACAGACUGGGGAUGACAGCUGGUUGUCACUGGCCUCCUUGCUUACUGCGGUGGGUGCCAUCUUUCAACCACCGUAAACACAGCUUCCGUGUCUGAACAAAGAGGGAGAUGGGUGAAAAGCAAGGAGGCUCCUGAAAUGCAGAAAGGUGGUGAGACAAUGAAAGCAGCAGCCAGGACAGUCUCUAGGCACUGGGGUUAGAGGCCAUUUCAAUACUUUCUUCCUUCUGCUCAUCUGCAUUUCCUAAAUACCCUUCAGAACACAUCUUAUUGUUUUUCUAAAAAUAUGAAAUACCUUCUUAUUUAAAGACUUGAAUUGUGCUCUGAAUUUCGUGAAAGGUGCAAACAACCAAACUAAACUGAGAUCAAACAAAACACUGAAACAAAUCCCAGGCUCCGGAGUUCCUGUCGUGGCCCAGCAGGAACAAAUCCAACUAGUAUCCAUGAGGAUGCAGGUUCGAUCCCUGGCCUUGCUCAGGUUGGGGAUCCGGUGUUGCUGUGCAUGGGGUGUAGGUCACAGAAACCCCUUGGAUCCACACUGCUGUGUCUGUAGUGUAAGCCAGUAGCUACGGCUCCUAUUUGACCCCUAGCCUGGGAACUUCCACAUGCUGCAGGUGGAUGUGGCCCUAAAAAGCAAAAAACAAAAAAACAAAACAAAACAAAAUGAAAAAACACCCCAGGCUCCAAAGCUGCAUUCUCAGCAGCCAAUCUUUUUCUUUCCUUCUUUUUCUCUUCUUUCUUUCUUUUUUUUUUUUUUUUUUUAAAGCCCCUUGCCGAGUACCUGGCUGAUGCUUGCAGUUAAAGUGAAUGUCACUCCACGGACCUAAUUCUAAGGAUACAGUCCCUCAGGACCUGCUGCGUAUGAGUUCCAGGAGGCCCCUCAGUUACCGCAAUCCACAAAUGCUCAAGUCCCUUAUAUAAAAUAGCAAAUACAGUCUGCUCUCUGUAUCUGCAGGUUUUGCAUCCGUAGGUAUAAAGGGCCAACUCUAGUUUCUUUUGCAGGCCUGAGACUUCUGGGCAAAAUGAAGAGGUGGUUGAACUGAAUGCUUAGGUUAAAUUCAAGAAGAGGUACACUCUCGUCCUCCCACCUUGGGAAUAAGCUGAAAGUCUUCUACUUGGGUGUUGCUUUAGGUUUUUUUUGUUUGUUUGUUUUGUUUUGUUUUUGUUUUUGUUUUGUUUGGGCUUUUUAGGGCCGCACUAGCGGCAUUUGGAGGUUGCCAGGCUAGAGGUUGAAUCUGAGCUACAGCUGCUAG
This 1406-nucleotide long non-coding RNA is filed under the name Sus scrofa (pig). RNAcentral describes it as "lncRNA (ENSSSCG00070016226.1)". Lineage: Eukaryota; Metazoa; Chordata; Mammalia; Artiodactyla; Suidae. The record is from RNAcentral.